Molecule: small nucleolar RNA, 133 nt
Organism: Phodopus roborovskii (desert hamster)
Lineage: Eukaryota; Metazoa; Chordata; Mammalia; Rodentia; Cricetidae
Product: small nucleolar RNA SNORA70
Exons: 1
Source: RefSeq, a predicted model, not a curated record
AUGCAGUCAUUUAAGCUGACCAGGUCCCUUUCUUGAUGGAGGCCUGGUACGCAGUGGUGCAGACAGCAUCAUCCUUGGUAGUGCAUACUGCCUGAUUCCUGUAUGGUCUGCCCUAGGCAUCUUGGAGACAAUU